Molecule: long non-coding RNA, 1136 nt
Filed under: Pogona vitticeps (central bearded dragon)
Lineage: Eukaryota; Metazoa; Chordata; Lepidosauria; Squamata; Agamidae
Description: lncRNA (ENSPVIG00000000966.1)
Source: RNAcentral
ACCCCACUCCAGGGUCUCCCAACAGAGUCAGUUGGGAAGGCCAGCCAUGGCUCCAAUGGAGUUGGUAGGCUAGGCCAGGCAGUGGCUGGAGACUGGCUGUGCAGGAUAACCACAACCAGGGCAAUAGGGGCAUCUGCAGAGUGCAUGUACCUUCCCCCUCAAAAAAAAAAUAUAUAUAUAUAUUUUCCUGUGAUACAGGUCACUGGGAUGCUGCAGGGCAAACACUAUCCCUACUAAGAAACAGGCUGUCCUCCCUGCACUGGGGCUCAAGGUCAACAGCAGUCCCAAGCGCACCUGGAACAUGUCCUUCAUUCCCUCACCUUUGAGCAGGUGCCUCUGAAGAAAGGAGGGAGGGUCCACUCCCCAUUCCCACUUGCCCGUUCCUUUCAGUGCAGGCAGAAACCCAGAGCCCUGGUCCUGCCAAGCCCGUAAUGGAGCUUCUCAGGAACAGACAGGGAAAGAGACACAGCUGUGCAUUGGGUGUGAGGGGAUGCUAAGAGGCAAAGACUAUUUAAGCAGGGGGGAACAGCCAGUGACUGAAGGGUGAGUCCUGGGGAAGACCUUGUUUGCUGGGCUGCCCAUUUCUGGCAUCGUUCUUGGAGCCGUUUAUCUUGACCAAUGUCCACGACAGCCUCUCGUUCCUAUCUACUUAAUGCUUCUAAGCAUUGUUGUGCUCCUCCUUCUCGGCCUCAGCUGCGUUCCGUGUGGGACUGGCACAGAUCAGCAAAGCGCCUUGACCCGCCACCUCCGGGCCGUCACCCUUCUCUUCCUCUGUGCCUGGUUCAUUGCAGGCAGCGUGUGGGUCUACUCCAUUUAUCCCCCUGACUACGAGUCUGUUGGACAGCCGAGCUUCUGCCACCGCACCCUCUUCCUUUUCGCCUUUGGGGUCACUACCACCCUUCAUGUGGCUUUGGCACUGGCACUUCUGCUUGCCCUCAGCAUCCUUGUGGGCAUCUUCAUUUUCAAGGCUGUCUUACCCUAUGGUGGACAUGGCAGUCGUGGGGGCCCAUAGCAGCUAAUGUGCAACAUGGGUGGGUAGUCGUUGGCGGUGUUUUUUUGUUGGUUUUUUUUCUUUUUUGGUACUGAUGCUGGGGCAUUUUGUCAAUAAAGUGGAUUGUGCUGCACGGAAUGUUCCA